This 497-nucleotide ribosomal RNA is filed under the name uncultured bacterium. RNAcentral's name for it is "partial 16S ribosomal RNA". It matches the Rfam family "Bacterial small subunit ribosomal RNA", at positions 28 to 507 of the family's 1533-position model. The record is from RNAcentral.
GAUGAACGCUGGCUGCGUGCCUAAUACAUGCAAGUCGAGCGAACAGACGAGGAGUUUGCUCCUCUGACGUUAGCGGCGGACGGGUUAGUAACACGUGGAUAACCUACCUAUAAGACUGGGAUAACUUCGGGAAACCGGAUCUAAUACCCGUUAAUAUAUUGCACCGCAUGUUUCAAUAGUUAAAGACGGCUUUGCUGUCACUUUUAGAUGGAUCCGCGCCGCAUUAGCUAGUUGGUAAGGUAACGGCUUACCAAGGCAACGAUGCGUAGCCGACCUGAGAGGGUGAUCGGCCACACUGGAACUGAGACACGGUCCAGACUCCUACGGGAGGCAGCAGUAGGGAAUCUUCCGCAAUGGGCGAAAGCCUGACGGAGCAACGCCGCGUGAGUGAUGAAGGUCUUCGGAUCGUAAAACUCUGUUAUGAGGGAAGAACAAAUGUGUAAGUAACUAUGCACGUCUUGACGGUACCUAAUCAGAAAGCCACGGCUAACUACGUG